AUUAAAAAAGGCGACAUAAUAAUUUCCCGACAAUAUAAGAUUUUCUUUUUCCUUCCCUAACAGGGGAUUGCUGGCACCACUUGACUUCCUCCCCUGCACCGGGAAAGACACUUCCAGAGCCGCCGCGAGGCCUCUCCACCGCCGGCGCAACUCGGCCUCGCCGCCGCUUUUCACUUCACUCCUCGUCUCUCCUCAUAUGACUACUCCCUUAUCCCCAAUUUCCCCCCAAUCAAAUCAGAACGCCCCCAUAUAAUCAGAGCACCCGAUUCAAUCAAUUCCGCUCCGCCGCUUAUGUGCAAAUCGAAAAUGUCGGUCGGCGCCACCCAACCCGUCAGAUCCCCGAGGCCUCCCAGAACCCCCAAUCAGUACCCCUCCGAUCGCUCUUCCUUCGACCCCGCGUCGAGCUCCGGCGAAGCAGGCGGCGCCUAUUACACCUCCACCUCCACCUCCACCUCCACCUCCGGCGGCGGCUACAAGCUCUCCCUCUCUGGGUCGUCCUCCUCCGCCGCUGCCUCGUCCAGCCGCGCCUCGCUCUCCAGCCUCCGCCAAACCCUCCCCGAGAAUGUCGCCAUCUACGACCUCUCCGAGCUCCGAUCCGCCACCAACAACUUCCUCUCCGCCCGCCGCUCCUCCUCCUCAUCCUCUUCCUGGCGGUGCUCCCUCCGCGGCAAGGACGUGAUCGUCUUCCAGCGCAAAUUCAGGCGGCGCCGCCUCGCCCCAGACCAGCUGCGGGACCUGCUGGGCGCCCUCUCCAAGAGCCACCUCGCCAAUAUCGCGAAGCUCCUCGGCGCGUGCGCCUCGGGGGAGGACAUCUAUCUCGUCUACGAAUUCGUCGCCGGCGCGUCCCUCUCGGAAUGCCUGAGGAACCCGAAGAACCCGAGCUUCACCGUGCUGAAGACGUGGAUCUCACGUAUGCAGGUCGCCACUGACGUUGCCCACGCGCUCGACUACAUCCACAACAACACGGGACUCAGCAUCAAUCUCGUCCACAACCACGUCAAGAGCAGCAGCAUUGUGGUCACUGAGCCCAACUUCCAAGCCAAGCUCUGCCAAUUCGGGGCCGCCCAGCUGUGCGGCGAGAUCGAUGAAAACGGCGUCGUCCGCCCGGGCGAGAUCAGCGAGGAGGGGGAGCCAUCCCCUUCAACUUCCAGUGAGCUGGCCCGGUCCAAUAGUCGGGUCAUGCAGUUCCAGGGCGUCCGCGGUUACAUGUCUCCCGAGUUCCGAGCCAACGGGAUCGCGACCCAGAAGGCCGAUGUGUAUGCCUUGGGGGUUGUGAUGCUGGAAUUACUGUCCGGGGAAGAGCCGUUCAAGUACAGGUACGACAAGGCGAAGGGGGAUUUCAUCAGGACGUCGAUAAUCGAGACCGCAAUGACGGCGGUCGAGAAUGGGAAGGCAGAGGGGAGGCUGAGGCAGUGGAUAGACCGGAGGCUCGGGGACUCGUUCCCGGUGGAAGCAGCGGAGAAGCUGAUCCGCCUGGCGUUAGAUUGCGUCCAAGUGGACCCGAACAGGAGGCCCGACAUGAGCCGGGUCGCAGGCAAGGUUUCCAAGCUGUAUGUACAGUCGAAGACUUGGUCGGACAACCUUAAAGUUCCGACUGGCAUUUCAGUGUCAUUGGGCCCAAGGAGAUACUGAAAUUCAUAAUCAUAUGGGAUCUUCUCCACGCUGACCAGCUGGGCCUGUCCACUGUUGCUGUUGUGCCCUCUGAAGCAUUCCACCAGCGAUUUCCUCAGUGUCCCUGAGGUAGGCAGCUGCUGGCACACCCACUCGACCAGUGAUCCCGACCCAGCUUCCGCCAGGAAGUCGGACCCGUUCCUGAGCAGAGGCUCGGGAAAUGCAAUCUUCUUUGAGCUGGUGACGACGAUUGAGGCCUGCAGUCAUAUAAUGAAGUAAGAAAUGAAGACUCCAGGAAAUCUUUUACAGAAAUGGUCUCAGUUUUCCGUUUUCUCUCGAGGAAAAGGGGCACUCUUGCAGGUCUAUUUGCGCCAGAAUUUAAGAUAUCAUAUUGUCGGAAGUAAGUAUGGGCAAAAGUGAUCGGUUGGUGGCCUAUACACGACAGCUGUGAAGAGUUCUGGUCGGUUAACUUACAGCAGGGGAGGAACGAGUCCCGCAACACAGAGCGAACGUGAUAUUAGGAUCCACAGAUUCGAGCCCGUACAGUUCACGAACCAUGGCUUCUUUACUACCACUGUCCUUCUCGCCUUUCCAGUGAAUCUGCCAAGGAAAUGAAAAUAAAGUCGAUUUCAAUUUUAUACACAAAA
Molecule: non-coding RNA, 2258 nt
Organism: Punica granatum (pomegranate)
Lineage: Eukaryota; Viridiplantae; Streptophyta; Magnoliopsida; Myrtales; Lythraceae
Source: RefSeq, a predicted model, not a curated record